RNAcentral lists this ribosomal RNA (206 nucleotides) under uncultured bacterium. RNAcentral's name for it is "partial 16S ribosomal RNA". It matches the Rfam family "Bacterial small subunit ribosomal RNA", at positions 568 to 774 of the family's 1533-position model. The record is from RNAcentral.
UGCGUAGGUGGUCGGGUAAGUCUGAUGUGAAAUCUCUGGGCUCAACCCAGAAAUGGCAUUGGAUACUAUUCGGCUGGAGGGUUGGAGGGGGGACGUGGAAUUCUCGGUGUAGCAGUGAAAUGCGUAGAUAUCGAGAGGAACACCAGUGGCGAAGGCGAGUCCCUGGACAACUCCUGACACUAAGGCACGAAAGCUGGGAGCAAACA